CUGGAGUCUCUGCAAACAUUUGCAGAACAAGUACAUCAACAGGUUUUUGGCUCAGGAUGAAGUCCUGUGUACUUUUCUUCUUCUUCUUGGUGUCUCUGAUUUCCUCCAACACUGCUUCCCCUCCACCUGGCAUCAAACUGCAAAUCACGGAAAAUGCGAAGGAUGUCUUGAAGGAUCUUGGUCUGAUGUACUUAAAGGGGCUGGUUAACAAGGAGUUCCCCAUAGAUAAAAUAUAUAUACCAAUCAGAAG
Molecule: long non-coding RNA, 250 nt
Organism: Haplochromis burtoni (Burton's mouthbrooder)
Lineage: Eukaryota; Metazoa; Chordata; Actinopteri; Cichliformes; Cichlidae
Exons: 3
Source: RefSeq, a predicted model, not a curated record